Molecule: ribosomal RNA, 336 nt
Filed under: fungal sp.
Lineage: Eukaryota; Fungi
Description: eukaryotic LSU rRNA
Rfam family: Eukaryotic large subunit ribosomal RNA
Source: RNAcentral
CUGGAACGGGACGCCAUAGAGGGUGAGAGCCCCGUACGGUUGGAUGCCUAGCCUCUGUGAAACUCCUUCGACGAGUCGAGUAGUUUGGGAAUGCUGCUCUAAAUGGGAGGUAUACGUCUUCUAAAGCUAAAUACCGGCCAGAGACCGAUAGCGCACAAGUAGAGUGAUCGAAAGAUGAAAAGCACUUUGAAAAGAGGGUUAAAAAGUACGUGAAAUUGUUGAAAGGGAAGCGUUCAUGACCAGACUUGAGCAGGUUGAUCAUCCGUGGUUCUCCGCGGUGCACUCUGCCUGCUCAGGCCAGCAUCAGUUCGCUCCGGGGGAUAAAGGCUCUGGGAA